Molecule: long non-coding RNA, 289 nt
Filed under: Homo sapiens (human)
Lineage: Eukaryota; Metazoa; Chordata; Mammalia; Primates; Hominidae
Description: non-protein coding lnc-S100A11-2:3
Source: RNAcentral
AUGCCAUCUCAAAUGGAACACGCCAUGGAAACCAUGAUGUUUACAUUUCACAAAUUCGCUGGGGAUAAAGGCUACUUAACAAAGGAGGACCUGAGAGUACUCAUGGAAAAGGAGUUCCCUGGAUUUUUGGAAAUCAAAAAGACCCUCUGGCUGUGGACAAAAUAAUGAAGGACCUGGACCAGUGUAGAGAUGGCAAAGUGGGCUUCCAGAGCUUCUUUUCCCUAAUUGCGGGCCUCACCAUUGCAUGCAAUGACUAUUUUGUAGUACACAUGAAGCAGAAGGGAAAGAA